GGGAUCAGCCCAGCGCCGAAUCCCCGUCUACCAAGAGGACGAGGGAAAUGUGGCGUUCGGGAGCGAGCGCGCCGGGGCCGGCGGCGGCGGCAAGUCCCCCUGACCGGGGCGCUUCCGCAGCGGGUGCGAGGCCCGUGGUCGCCGCGGCCGUCCCGGACGCGAACUCCCCGGAGUCGGGUUGCUUGGGAGUGCAGCCCUAAGCGGGUGGUAAACUCCACCCGAGGCUAAAUACCGCCGUGAGACCGAUAGCAAACAAGUACCGUGAGGGAAAGUUGCAAAGAACUUUGAAGAGAGAGUUCAAGAGUACGUGAAACUGCUCAGAGGUAAACGGGUGGGCCCUCGAAAUCCUUGCAAGGGGAGAGGACUCAGUCCGGAGGCGAGGGGCGCGCGGACGGCUCGAGAACCCCCGAGCGGGGGGCCGGCCGCCGCGCGGAGACUCCGAGCCGCCGGACGCACUUGGCUCUCCCCCAGAGGACGCCGCGGCCGGUUCGGCAGCGCAAGCGCGACGCCCUGAGAGGCGGGGUACCGGCAGGUCGCCGGCGGUCGGCCCAGCGCCGCUCCGCCGGAGGUUGGCCGCCCCGCAAGUGGGCCGUCGCCGGACCGAGGCUCGCGGGCUCCCCCCACGGGGGGGCCCCACGUCCCCACCCCACGAGGUGGCGGACCCGAGGCGCGGCACGGGCCGCGGGGGACGCUCCGCCGCACUCUCGCGGAGUGGUCGCACGCACCCCGCGCCCGCACAGCCGCGCGGGAAUCCGCCCGGGGCACCGAAGGACGGCGGCGAAUGGGUCGGCCGCCCACCCGACCCGUCUUGAAACACGGACCAAGGAGUCCGACACGCGCGCGAGUCGACGGGUCUUGAACAGGCCCGCGGGCGCAACGAAAGCGAAGGGCCGCUCAACGCGUGCCCAGGCGGGGAUCCCGGCUCCAGGUGGGCCGGGCGCACCCGCGACCCGCUCGGGGAGGCAAGCCUCCCGGGCGGAGUCCGAGCGCGCGCGUCGGGACCCGAAAGGUGGUGAACUAUGCCCGGACAGGACGAAGCCGGAGGAAACUCUGGUGGAGGUCCGCAG
RNAcentral lists this ribosomal RNA (1067 nucleotides) under Agorius sp. UBC SEM W.Maddison d299. RNAcentral's name for it is "eukaryotic LSU rRNA". It matches the Rfam family "Eukaryotic large subunit ribosomal RNA", at positions 100 to 880 of the family's 3401-position model. The record is from RNAcentral. Lineage: Eukaryota; Metazoa; Arthropoda; Arachnida; Araneae; Salticidae.